This 515-nucleotide ribosomal RNA is filed under the name uncultured bacterium. RNAcentral's name for it is "partial 16S ribosomal RNA". It matches the Rfam family "Bacterial small subunit ribosomal RNA", at positions 28 to 523 of the family's 1533-position model. The record is from RNAcentral.
GAUGAACGCUGGCGGCGUGCCUAAUACAUGCAAGUCGAGCGAAUGGAUUAAGAGCUUGCUCUUAUGAAGUUAGCGGCGGACGGGUGAGUAACACGUGGGUAACCUGCCCAUAAGACUAGGAUAACUCCGGGAAACCGGGGCUAAUACCGGAUAACAUUUUGAACCGCAUGGUUCGAAAUUGAAAGGCGGCUUCGGCUGUCACUUAUGGAUGGACCCGCGUCGCAUUAGCUAGUUGGUGAGGUAACGGCCCACCAAGGCAACGAUGCGUAGCCGACCUGAGAGGGUGAUCGGCCACACUGGGACUGAGACACGGCCCAGACUCCUACGGGAGGCAGCAGUAGGGAAUCUUCCGCAAUGGACGAAAGUCUGACGGAGCAACGCCGCGUGAGUGAUGAAGGCUUUCGGGUCGUAAAACUCCGUUGUUAGGGAAGAACAAGUGCUAGUUGAAUAAGCUGGCACCUUGACGGUACCUAACCAGAAAGCCACGGCUAACUACGUGCCAGCAGCCGCCGUAA